Long non-coding RNA from Chrysemys picta bellii (western painted turtle), 656 nucleotides. RefSeq lists it as uncharacterized. NCBI's taxonomy places the organism in Eukaryota, Metazoa, Chordata, Testudines, Emydidae. The record is from RefSeq and is a predicted model, not a curated record.
GGUAUAGUUUGCUAUUGGUAAAAUAUAUAUAGAGAGAACUAUAUAUCAGGGGAAGGCGAGCAAAUGGUUUUGGAGCUGACAGUCCACCUCACAUUCUUCUCAAAAUCACUUAAGAAGUACCUAAACAGUGGGAGAUUAAGUUUGAGUUUUCCUUUGUGUAUGGAGUGGACCCAAACCUACGCAGAUCUGUUUUAUUGGCAUGGGAACGUGAGAUUAAAAGAGAAACUUGACUGUCUAUUGGGGGGAGAAAACCUCCAUUGAACACAAUGAAGUUAGUUGCUUUGCAGGAGGCAAACAGACAUUUGAUUAGAAAGUUACGCAAAAUGUGUAUAAGAGUAAAACCAGGAACAUCUGGGAUGAUUUGCACAGCAUGCGGAAUCUGGGCUAUGAAGUAUGAAUUCCUGAUAAUUAAAUGAGUGAGUAAAAUCGCUGAAAACGUUUUCUUUACUUCUUUUUAAUGAUGAUAGUUGCGAAAAUGUUCCUCCCGAAGUAUGUUUAAAGACUGUUUCCCCAACACAUGGUGAUGUAGCGUUUUAUUGAAACGCAGCUCUAUUUAGCAUGCUGGUGGCUAAGGCUAACUCGUCCUACCUUUUGGCUGUAGUCCUUUUUAUUUUUAUUGUGAAAGAAAAAAAAUAAAAUUCACUAAUUGAAACUCG